Molecule: long non-coding RNA, 1194 nt
Organism: Gopherus flavomarginatus (Mexican gopher tortoise)
Lineage: Eukaryota; Metazoa; Chordata; Testudines; Testudinidae
Exons: 3
Source: RefSeq, a predicted model, not a curated record
AACCUGGAUGCCGGCAGAGCAAAGAGGAGCUGACAGCACCAUGUGACAUGGCAACUCUCCCUGAACUACCAGAUGUGUUUGCAGUCUUCACUGUCAACCCUCAUUACACGAGCCAUCCAUUCCUCUGUGGUCUUCCAGAAUGCAAAGAAGCUUAUUCCUAUCAUCUGCUGAUGACCAUGUGAAUUCAUUUGGAUUAAUAUUGAACAGAUACAGAGCACAAUAUUCGUACCUAGAAGCCACAUAAUGCAUGAAAAUAAAGCAAAGGGACAGAGACCAGGUUAAGUGAAUCUAUCACUGCAUUUUGGAUACCUGUUUCUAAGUGUGUAAAACUUUUCUUGGGUUCAAAUUGUUACAGAUUCAAAAGGUAGGUCAGGUUCCCUGAAAUAUUUGAGUAUCUUUGGCUGUUUAUGUAUGGUUUUAAUCCCCAAUCCAGGGGGAAAAGUUCAGCCCCACAAAUUCUGUUUUAGUGGUUUGUCCAAACCUGAAACGGGGGAGGAAACUGUGUGGGUGCACAUACAUGCUCCUUUCACAGAAUAGCUUCUGCCUUCAGCUACAUGUCAGUAUUGCCUACCAGUAGCACCAUUUCAUUGGAGCCAGAGAGUUGUGGGUUUGAUUCAUCAUAAGAGAGAUGGUUCAUGGAGCACUAACUAUGAUUCUUGGCAGAAAAGUUUUUCUGUUCUUUUUAAAUACACCCUUAAAUGGAAGUUGUGUUUUUGCUAGAUGAGCAGUGUUUGGAGACAAUUCAAGAUGGAAGAUCUCAAAGGGUGAGAGCUACCCUAUGCUCUCUCCCUCUCAUGGAUAUUUUAUACUGGAUGGUUUGUUGUAUUCUAUAAUCUACAGUAAAAGUCAUAUACAUUGAAAGUACAUGUUUUGCUUUCUGUGUAUAUAAAACACUACAGUGGCUAUUGUCCUUUUGAUAAUCUGUUAACCAGUAGUUCCUUCUCCCUCUAUUGAGCGGCCAUCUAAUUGGAAGUUUAAAAUAAUCCUGUGGAGGGAUGGACAAUGAAAGAAAGAGCAACUCUGCUUUCUGGCCAGAAUCUGUUCUCUUAAUAACAGUUUUCUAAAUGUCCAAAGCUGUGAGCAAACUAUUGCUGAAUCCAUGUUAAUUGCUCAAUUUGUCUACACAGCCAUUGCACCACCAGCAUCUAAUAAAAGAACUUUGCAAAUUCACUGGUGUCAUUCGAAUACAAUGCA